CAGUCGCCGCGGUAAUACAGAGGGUGCAAGCGUUAAUCGGAAUUACUGGGCGUAAAGCGUGCGUAGGCGGUUUCGUAAGUCGGGUGUGAAAGCCCCGGGCUCAACCUGGGAAUUGCAUUCGAGACUGCGAAGCUAGGGUGCGGAAGAGGGAAGCGGAAUUUCCGGUGUAGCGGUGAAAUGCGUAGAUAUCGGAAGGAACAUCAGUGGCGAAAGCGGCUUCCUGGUCCAGCGCCGACGCUCAGGCACGAAAGCGUGGGGAGCAAACAGGAUUAGAUACCCCCGUAGUCCCUGUCUCUUAUAC
This 301-nucleotide ribosomal RNA is filed under the name uncultured bacterium. Its description in RNAcentral is "partial 16S ribosomal RNA". It matches the Rfam family "Bacterial small subunit ribosomal RNA", at positions 509 to 807 of the family's 1533-position model. The record is from RNAcentral.